UUGGAGGGCAAGUCUGGUGCCAGCAGCCGCGGUAAUUCCAGCUCCAAUAGCGUAUAUUAAAGUUGUUGCAGUUAAAAAGCUCGUAGUUGAACUUCGGGGUUUACCCAUUGGUCAGGCUUAAUUGUCUGUACUGGUGAGAUGAAUCUCUACCUUCUGAGGAACUUUCAUGCCACUUAUUUGGUGUGAUGGGAAAUCAGGACUGUUACUUUGAAAAAAUUAGAGUGUUUAAAGCAGGCUAACGUCUGAAUACAUUAGCAUGGAAUAAUAAAAUAGGACGGUGGUCCUGUUUUGUUGGUUUCUGAAUCACCGUAAUGAUUAAUAGGGAUAGUUGGGGGCAUUAGUAUUCAAUUGUCAGAGGUGAAAUUCUUGGAUUUAUUGUAGACUAACUUCUGCGAAAGCAUUUGCCAAGGAUGUUUUCAUUAAUCAAGAACGAAAGUUAGGGGAUCGAAGACGAUCAGAUACCGUCGUAGUCUUAACCAUAAACUAUGCCGACUAGGGAUCGGACGAUGUUAAAUUUUAUUGACUCGUUCGGCGCCUUACGGGAAAC
Molecule: ribosomal RNA, 547 nt
Filed under: uncultured Diversisporaceae
Lineage: Eukaryota; Fungi; Glomeromycota; Glomeromycetes; Diversisporales
Description: SSU rRNA
Rfam family: Eukaryotic small subunit ribosomal RNA
Source: RNAcentral